RNAcentral lists this ribosomal RNA (250 nucleotides) under uncultured bacterium. RNAcentral's name for it is "partial 16S ribosomal RNA". It matches the Rfam family "Bacterial small subunit ribosomal RNA", at positions 524 to 773 of the family's 1533-position model. The record is from RNAcentral.
UACGUAGGUGGCAAGCGUUGUCCGGAUUUACUGGGCGUAAAGGGAGCGUAGGCGGAUAUUUAAGUCAGAUGUGAAAUACCCGAGCUUAACUUGGGUGCUGCAUUUGAAACUGGAUAUCUGGAGUGCAGGAGAGGAAAGUGGAAUUCCUAGUGUAGCGGUGAAAUGCGUAGAGAUUAGGAAGAACACCAGUGGCGAAGGCGACUUUCUGGACCGUAACUGACGCUGAGGCAUGAAAGCGUGGGGAGCAAAC